GACGAACGCUGGCGGCGUGCUUAACACAUGCAAGUCGAACGGAAAGGCCCUGCUCUUGUGGGGUGCUCGUGUGCCGAACGGGUGUGUAUCACGUGUGUAACCUGUCCUUGUCUUUGGGGUAACUUCAGGGAACUGGGGCUCAUAUCGGAUAUGAGCUCCUGCAGCAUGGUGGGGGUUGGAAAGAUUCGGCGGUUGGGGAUGGACUCGAGGCUUAUCAGCUUGUUGGUGGGGUAGUGGAUUACCAAGGCUCUGACGGGUAGCCGGCCUGAGAGGGUGACCGGCCACAAUGGGACUGAGAUAGGGCCAAGACGCCAACGGGAGGCAGCAGUGGGAAAUAUUGCGCAAUGGGCGGAAGCCUGAUACAACGACGCCGCGUGCGGGAUGACGGCCUUCGGGGUGUAAACCGCUUUCGACUGUGACGAAGCGUGAGUGACGGUAAUGGGUAAAGAAGCACCGGCUAACUACGUG
This 468-nucleotide ribosomal RNA is filed under the name uncultured bacterium. RNAcentral's name for it is "partial 16S ribosomal RNA". It matches the Rfam family "Bacterial small subunit ribosomal RNA", at positions 28 to 507 of the family's 1533-position model. The record is from RNAcentral.